AACAAACAAACGCAAACAGGAAACAGAAUGCUAAUAGAUGGACUUAUAUCCGACUCCAAACAAACAAACACAAACAGGAAACAGAAUGCCAAUAGAUGGACUUAUAUCCGACUCCAAACAAAAACCAACAAAAAAGAAAAGGGGGAAAGGGUGCCACACACAGACUAAAAAAAGAAAAGAGUGCAAACACAAAACAAAGAAAAGAAAAGAGUGCAAACAUAAAACAAAGAAA
Molecule: long non-coding RNA, 232 nt
Filed under: Lathyrus oleraceus (garden pea)
Lineage: Eukaryota; Viridiplantae; Streptophyta; Magnoliopsida; Fabales; Fabaceae
Description: Pisum sativum (pea) long non-coding RNA (PSAT_LNC027933)
Source: RNAcentral